GGAGGGGUGGCAGAGCGGUUAAAUGCACCGGACUGUAAAUCCGGCCUCUUAGAGUACACUGGUUCGAAUCCAGUCCCCUCCACCA
Molecule: transfer RNA, 85 nt
Filed under: Temperatibacter marinus
Lineage: Bacteria; Pseudomonadati; Pseudomonadota; Alphaproteobacteria; Kordiimonadales; Temperatibacteraceae
Description: tRNA-Tyr
Rfam family: tRNA
About the family: Transfer RNA (tRNA) molecules are approximately 80 nucleotides in length. Their secondary structure includes four short double-helical elements and three loops (D, anti-codon, and T loops).
Source: RNAcentral